GACGAACGCUGGCGGCGUGCCUAAUACAUGCAAGUCGAGCGGAGCGGCGGACGGGGGAGUAAUGCCUAGGAAUCUGCCUGGUAGUGGGGGAUAACGUCCGGCAACGGGCGCUAAUACCGCAUACUAUCAGAUGAGCCUAGGUCGGAUUAGCUAGUUGGUGGGGGAAAGGCCUACCAAGGCGACGAUCCGUAACUGGUCUGAGAGGAUGAUCAGUAACACUGGAACUUAGACACGGUCCAGACUCCUACGGGAGGCAGCAGUGGGGAAUAUUGGACAAUGGGCGAAAGCCUGAUCCAGCCAUGCCGCGUGUAUGAAGAAGGUCUUCGGAUUGUAAAGCACUUUAAGUUGGGAGGCGUUACCAACAGAAUAAGCACCGGCUAACUACGUGCCAGCAGCCGCGGUAAUAC
RNAcentral lists this ribosomal RNA (407 nucleotides) under uncultured bacterium. RNAcentral describes it as "partial 16S ribosomal RNA". It matches the Rfam family "Bacterial small subunit ribosomal RNA", at positions 28 to 526 of the family's 1533-position model. The record is from RNAcentral.